Molecule: microRNA precursor, 63 nt
Organism: Oreochromis aureus
Lineage: Eukaryota; Metazoa; Chordata; Actinopteri; Cichliformes; Cichlidae
Source: Ensembl
UGCGGCCGAUGGGUGGAAGGAAAAUGAUGCUGGAGUAUGUUUGCUUACAGCCUCUGCUGCACA